This is a long non-coding RNA of Vespula pensylvanica (western yellowjacket), 556 nucleotides long. RefSeq lists it as uncharacterized. The record is from RefSeq and is a predicted model, not a curated record. NCBI's taxonomy places the organism in Eukaryota, Metazoa, Arthropoda, Insecta, Hymenoptera, Vespidae. The transcript has 2 exons.
AAAACGACAUUAUUCUAUUUGCAUCAUUCUUAUAUGAAUUUCAAUUUAUCAUUGUAUUUAUCGUAUGUAUAUCAAAUAUUUAAUUAUUCAGUAAUGUUAAAAGUUAAAUUUUCCAGAAUACAUCUUCCCAUUUACUUUCCAAAUGACAUCAAUUUCUAAAAAACUCGAAAAAUAUAUUCAAGUGCAAUUAAAUUGUUAUAAAAUCUAUAUUCUUCAUUAUAAAAGAUAUUAUCAUUAAUGAGGAUAUAAAUAUGGAUUUAUACAAAUGAAGCCUUCUGAUCUUAAGGGACAAUUAUUUUUAUACUGCUUUAUGACUCUGUCAUUUUUAAACAAUGCAUUCCUAAAGAAAAUGAUUUCCAUGAAAGAUACAAUGCAUAUAGAGAAGAUAGGAUAUUUAUGCCGAAUGAAAAGAUUUUAUUUCAAAUAAAAAUUUUAAAGUACGAAGAUAAAAUGAGAGGUAUUCUCAAUAACAAAAAUAUUUCUUAUAUUUACUACACAUUGUAUGCUUAUUGUAUACUUAUUUAUCGUGAAGAAUAAAUUAUUAAAAUCUUUUAUA